GGAAUAUUGCACAAUGGGGGCAACCCUGAUGCAGCAACGCCGCGUGAACGAUGAAGGCCUUCGGGUUGUCAAGUUCUUUUCUGAGGGAAGAUAGUGACGGUACCUCAGGCAUAAGUCCCGGCUACCUACGUGCCAGCAGCCGCGGUAAAACGUCGGGGGCGAGCGUUAUCCGGAUUUAUUGGGCGUAAAGCGCACGUAGGUGGCGCGGCAAGUUGGACGUGAAAGCUCUUGGCUCAACUGAGAGAGGUCGUUCAAAACUGCAGCGCUUGAGGUUGGAAGAGGAGAGUGGAAUUCCCGGUGUAGUGGUGGAAUGCGUAGAUAUCGGGAGGAACACCAGUGGCGAAGGCGGCUCUCUGGUCCACACCUGACGCUGAGGUGCGAAAGCGUGGGGAGCGA
Molecule: ribosomal RNA, 396 nt
Filed under: uncultured bacterium
Lineage: Bacteria
Description: bacterial SSU rRNA
Rfam family: Bacterial small subunit ribosomal RNA
Source: RNAcentral